This 7438-nucleotide long non-coding RNA is filed under the name Nicotiana tabacum (common tobacco). RNAcentral's name for it is "long non-coding RNA (NTAB_LNC008669)". Lineage: Eukaryota; Viridiplantae; Streptophyta; Magnoliopsida; Solanales; Solanaceae. The record is from RNAcentral.
AAUAAUCCAACUACUACCCUUUACCUACCCGCCUUAAACCUACCAAACACCUAACCCUAAUUCAUUCCCUCUCAGAUUGGCCGCCCCUCUUUCCCUAAACUCUCUCUUUUCUCUCAUCCUUUCAAUCUCUAUCAGUCCUAAAUUCUUGCACAAAUAUGUGCAAUGUCACAAAAUUAAACUUCACAAUACUCAAUCUAUCCCUAUACUUACGAAUCCUACCAUUUUAUUUCUUCUUUCAUCACUGAGAUUCAAAAUCCCCAAACCUGAAACCCUAGACUCAAAAAUGAAACUUCAAAUCUUCUGAUUUCUCUUGUGGUCUUUUAAAUCAGAUCAUGCAUGAAGGUUUUAUACGGAUUCAUCAUUGUUAUUCGAUGUCCAGAGAGACCUCUAGAUGUUGGAGUUUGACUUGUUGUUUAUCACUCAUCAACGGUCAAUUUUUCAUUCUCAUAUUCCUAGGUAAAACUGCUUCAUUAUUUUCCCUCUGUGCUCUUCUGAUUUCACUCCUUCCCUAUCGUCAUCUACCCGUUCGUCAUCAUCCACUACUUGUUUGAACUAAUCUAAAAACCUAAGACUUGAAUGCCACAAUACAAAGGGUCAUUUAAUUCCUUCACCUAACACACUUAUAUACCAUCUGAAAUACAAAAAAGAAAGAAAUAAAUAGUAAGUUCCAAGGUUUCCUCACUCUUUACUGUUUUCUUUUCCGGUCCUGAGUUCGAUUGUUGUACUGGUUUUGAGUAUAUCCUUAAACGGCUAUUAAAUCACUCUCGUUUGGUUUGCUUCCCGGUAGAAGGUCAGUAUACACUGACCUUCCCUUUUUUCGAUUAUCUGUGUUAUUUUAUGCUUACCAUGUCUUCUUCUGUUGAUUAUCUUUUGUUCGUGAUAUAUGUUAGUAGUUUGUAAUUGAUUAUUAUUUUCUUCUUGCAUAUGUUAUCCCUAAUGUUUGAGUUAAUUAUUUCCUGAUAUUUUGUGUUUGUUCUAGUAUGGCUAGUUAAUCUAUGUUAAUGAACCUUAUGACUUAACUGGACAGAUAGUUGUUAUAGUGAAUGAUCUGAAUUCUGCUUAGCCUUUGUCAUUAUUAAAGGGUCUUCUGAUGAUUCUAUGUGUGCUUGUUAAAUGUAAUACCAUGUUUAGUUAGCUUGAUCAAGUUGUGUUCUUAGACAUUUUUUGAUGUUCUAACGAGGGUUGAGGUCUGUUACAACUGUGCUAUAUUGGUUCUUAGAUUAUUAAUAGUAUACCAUUAGUUAAUAUGUUUAAAAAUGAUCUCUAUUAUUGUAUCCAUGCCACACACUUAACUAACAUGUUUGACUGAGCAAUAGGUUGUUAAAACCAUGUCUGUUGUGCAUAUUUUAAAGCUUACAUGAUCUGAACUUUUGUAAAUAAAUUCAUUAGUUUAGUUAUUAGGUUAUCUGCCCCCAUGAUAUGUUAUGUAUUCUUGUAACGCUUUGGAAACAUCAUUGUGUAUAGGUUUGAGUAUCUUCUGUUAACUCUCAUACUUGUAUGUUUACUCGGUUAAACUCAUGAACUUCUUCUUUGCUCUUUUAAGAAGGAUUCAUGUCUAAACCAUUAUAAUUUCCAUUUAAAACUGCUUUAUAGAAUAAGAAGUUAAACCUUGUUUAAUAUAAGCUUGAACUAUGUGAAUAUUUGAAAUGUUAUUGUUGUCACUCAUAGGCUUAAGGAAACUCACUGAAACUUGUUUACCUUUUUUAAUGAACACUGCCCUCAUGCUUGUUUGAUAUCCUUGGCUCUUAAAAGACUUAGUUGUGAAUUUGGAUGUUGAUUGAGAAUCUAAUAGGCUAAGAAUCAUGUUGUUAAGUUUGAAAUAGCUUUAUCUAAUAGGCUAAGAAUCAUGUUGGGUGCCUCUACUGUUUGUUGUUAUCUCUAAGGAAUCUAAUCAGGCCUGUUAGUAUAGGUAUUUAGUGUUGCACUCCCCUUUUCUCGUGAAAUCGGGUUUCGAUAUUUAUGAGACAACUCCUUUUGAGAGGGUAGGGAAUUAGAAUUGAAAGAGUCGCCACCUAACGGAUUAAGGUGCGUUAGGGCACCUAAAGCAGAUAACUCAUGUUACUAGUUUAUAUCACCAGAGAUCGAGUAAAGGCUCGAAAUUACCUUGAGGGAAAGGUGUUAGGCACCCCUCGAGGUACACAACGGUGGGUCCCAGCCGAACUUAACUUGUGAAUUAGUCUAAAAAAGUGAGAGGAAUAUUAAUAGGGAUGGGGGUCCUAAAUUUUUUAUCCUAAAGGAUCACCCCGUGCAAUAUAAAUAAUACUUCGUAACUCUCUCGAGUUGGGGUGUUACUCAUAUGAUUCAGCGGAAACAAACUAUCUUUAUCUGCUACCCGAUUACUAUCUUUAAGUUGUUACCUAAAGCGCUCUAAUUGAUUCUAGUUCGAUUCCUAUGUGUGCACUACCCGUCCCUUACCUAUGGCCCUGGAGGUAUUAGGACCUCUAUUUGGGAUAGUUCUAGACCCAGCAUACGUUGCUCAAAAAUGUAAAAGCCUAGUAGACAAUCAAAAACAAUUAGGACUUUCAGAUAGCAAACAGAUAUAGGCUCAUAUUGACCUCCACAUAUAAACAACAAAAGCACGCAAUUGAUUCAACAAACCUUAUUAACCUUAAAAUCCUAUAGGCAGGAUGUCUAUACGAGAAAACAGAGUGCAGAGGCAAUUUUAUUAAGGCGAGUGUUAAAACCUGUUGUUUGCCUACUGAUUUUAUUCAGCGUGGUCUGGGCAGUUCAGGCAGUUCUACAUCACAAUUAUAAAUCCAGGAUUAUUAAAUCCUAUAAGUAUAUUUCCUAAGUGAUUGCCAAGGGCGAUUGUAUUUAUAAUCAAUUGAUAGAAUCCUAUAAGCAUGAUUUCUACGAGUUUGAUGAUUACAUACCUAUAGACAUGAUUUCUAGGUGUAGCACUAACUUUAACUUACAGAGAUUGGUUAUAUUUCCUUUUAAUCCUAUAGGCAUGAUCUCUAACUGUCGUACUCACUUGAGUCCUAUAGGCAUGAUUUCUAGGUUUGAAAGUGGUUUUAGUCCUAUAAGUAUGGUAUCUUCUACUGAAUUGAUUUAAAUCCUAUAGGCAUGAUUUCUAGACUGAUUUUCAUCCUAUAGGCAUGAUUUCUACGAGUUAUGUAUAGGCAGAAAUUAUGCAGAUUGCCAGAAGAUUGAUCAAAUCAAACAUCGAGGUCCUAUAAGCAUGAUUGCUAAUUCACAUUUGUUGGAUUGAUAGACCCUAUGAGCAGGAUUUCUAAUAUGCAUUUCAUUAUCAACCCUAUAAGCAGGACUUCUAAUAUGCAAGCACAAAAUUAACAGCAUCAAUGAAAAUCCUAUAGACAGGAUUUCUAAGCACAGUAUAUAACUCAUACAGUUUUACCCAAAUGAAUAGAAUUGACAGUAUAACUAGAUCCUAUAGGCAGGAUUUCUACCUAGUUUAGCAAAAGGAAAUAAGAAAACCCCCCAGCUUUACUAAAUAUCCUCAGAAUAUGUUAUUACAAAGUUAUUACAAACUAGAAUAGCAAAUGAAUUACACAAUAGUAAUAAGAUACUAUAGGGAGCCUUUAUUAGGCCCAAAUAACCGGGGAACCAGGCCUUCCAAUCAUAACAACUUUGAGGCACAGCAUAGUGAUUCAUCCAUGGCACAUUAGCACCAGGUUUCUAGCGUGUCAAAUUUCCCAAGGGCCUCAGGGACCCAGGGGAAUGCUCACACCAGAACCAUACAUUCAGAAGAUAGCUCAUAAGAAAUUGGAAAACCAGUCUCUAAUGUGUCAGAGUUCACAGGAGUCUCAUGUGGACCCUGAGCAGUGCCCAUACUAGGGUGGUUGAGAACCUAAGGUCUAAGAGUGGAGUAAAUCAGUGCAGAAAAAAGAGGUAAGGGCAGGUUUCUAAAACAGUUUGAUUUCAGAAGAAACAAGAUUUAGGACAUAGAGUUGUUGGCAGAACUGCACCAAACAAGGUUAUGCUCAAACUCAUAGUUCAAGUAAGUUAGAGGUCUAGUUAAGCUAAACAUUCAUGCUAGUACCUAAGACAAUCAUUGUUUAAUCACAGAAGUAAUUAGGCAAAACAGUUAAGUUGUCCAGACACACGAAGUAAGCAACCAUACAAAAAUAUGUAGAGUUGGUAUUAAUGAACCAAUUUCAUGCUAAUAGUAUUAUAGGGAUACUGAGUUUAGAACAAGUGUAAGAUUAACAAGUAGUGUAUGAAACAAAUUUAGACAUUAGGCUAACUUAUAAGAGGAUUCGUAUUAUUCAAAAUAGCUUAAUCCUAAGUCAACAGUGUCACUCAUAAGACUAGAUGAGAUCAUAGAAUCACAUAAAAAUGACAGAAUCAUACUUGAAAUUAAAAUAUUCUAGUCAAGAAAAGCAUGGAGAAUGAGAUUGCAAAGGACUAUAUCAUACCAAUUAAGUAAGAAAGCAAGUAAAUAUGCCACAGCAGUUAAAUUCCAGAAUAACUUAGCCUUGGCUUUCAGUCAGCCAAAACCAGAGACAAUUAGCACAGAAUCAGAAUAAGAGAGCUUAAGUUUUUUUUAGUGAGAGUGUGAGAGUUCAAGUCUGUCGUAAAGGGGAAAGGAGAGGGGUUUAUAUAGCACUAAACUAGGGUACAUAAACAUGGGAAUAAUCAAUCAGCAUAUUUAAGGAAAAACUCAACACAUUAUAAAGGUAAGUCAGAGAUAAUAGUACAUAGACGUGUGUGAUAGUAAUUACACCAGUCUAGGAAUCAAAGAUUCUCAUGUAAUAAUUAAGGCGAGAACAAAUAGACAGAAUCAGUAAGAAAAGUGAAAUAAGAAUCGGAACCCUAAUUUUAGGGUAAAUAAAAUUAGCCAGAAUAAUCGAAGGAAUAUAACAUGCAUAUAGACAGCUAUAGGAAAGUAUUGAACAAAAAAUAAGAAUCAUAACAGGUCUGAGCCCUAAUUUUAGGGCAAAUAAGCUGGUCAGCAAAUUUACCAAAAUCGCAAUAGAGUGCAUAUAGACGAACAUAAAGGAACAUUAAAGGAGAUACUCAACAAAAAUAGAACUAGGACAGAUUUUAAAAGAUUUGAGCCCUAAUUUUAGAGUAAGUAAAAAACUAGUACGGAAACCACAGGAGAUUGUAUAGAAUUUUUAAGAAGAUAUUCAACCAUAAAUGGAACAAGAACAUAUCUUAAAUAUUUGAGCCCUAGUUUUAGGGAAAAUAAAUUAGACAACUUUUAAUGAAAAAAUCGCAAAGAAAAUAGACAUGCGGUGCGAUUUUAACAACAAUAAGAACAAAAAUUAAACAGGUCUUAAAGAUUUGAACCCUAAUUUUAAGGGUAAACCAGAAUUAAAAGAAUCUCAGAGAUUCAUUCCGUAAAGAGAUGAAGAAUGAACAUAGAUGAAAAAAAGUGAAGGUUCGAACUAGAUUUGGUUCAAAGCAAGAGAGAUCCACUUGCCUUGUUAGGUAAGUGAUUAUGUAAUACCAUAAUCGGUUAACCAGUAAUAGGAGACGACCAAUAAGGUAAGAAAAUUGUCUGUGGAUUCCAUCUCUGAGUUGGAAUCGAAGGGCAAAACGGGAUUACGGCGCUAGGGUUUCAAAAGAGGAAGAGAGCGUUUAGGAGUUUAAGGAUGGCGGAUGAUAGAGAAAUGGGGGAAUUAGGGUUAGGAGUGGUUAAUUAAAAAGGUAAGAGUGAACGGGAGCCAUUGAUCUUGAGAGAUCAACGGUUAGGAUUAAAGGUAAACGGGGCGGGUCAUAUAAAAUAGGUACUGACCGUGUUUUAAUAAGAGGUUGUUUGGUUUAGGCUCAGGAGAUAUUGGGCUGGUGUAAAGGUGUUGGGCUUGUGUAUUGGGUAGUUUUAAGUCCGAAAAUAGGAGUAAUUUAGGGCUAGAUUUUAUCUACCCAAUUAAAUCAGUAAAUAAUUUAUAAAAAAUAAUUAAUAAAAUAACAAAAAUAUCACUUGUGCAUAAAAAUGAUUUAAAAUAAUUACUUAAUAUUAUAAAAAUAUAAAAAGUCAUUUUUAUGUAAAUAAUGUAAUUAUGCAUAUAUAUAGGCUAUUAUUGCAAAAUAUGCAAUUUUAGCCUAAGGAUGCAAAAAAUAAAUAUAUUUAAAGCUUAAUAUGGAUAUAAAUGAUGCAAAUUAGAUAAUAAAUUAUAAUAAAAUUAUUUGUGAUGUAAUUAAUAUUUAUUUAUAUAAAAAUGCAGGAAUAAAUUGAUUAAAAGUCUUUAAAAAUUAUAAAAAAUUAUGGAAAAGUACUUGGUGAUGCUCAUGCAUUAUUUUGAAGGUGUAUAUGCAUAUUUGAAAUAUGUGAGGGAAAAAUUGGGUAUCAACAUUAGUAUAGUGAGGCCUCAACUAUAAGUACGUCUGUUUCUUAUUGUUCUGGAGAUCAUGUGAAUGAUCGUUGGAGUGUUGUAAACAUAGUUAAGGAUGCUUGAAAGUUUAAACCUGCCAAUAGAACUAAAGAAGUUAAUAUGUGUGUUUUCCCUACCCCUUGGAUCACCCAACUUAUCGUUUUUAACUUGGAUUAGUUUGCUGAUGGUUGCCAUGAACUCUCCAUUUCUGCGUCUGAUGAUUUAUAUCCUUAAAUGUUCUAAUACGUGUUAUAAAUGAAUGUUGAAUGUCCCUGGACAUUGUAAAUACUUGCGGCAACUUACAUUCUUGUGUUUGGAUUAUGAUCCUAAAGUUAGUAAUGUAAUCUUGUACAGUUCAUAACCUUGUACCUUGAUGAUAGUGUUCUGUAUAGCUUCUGUUGCAAUUUUGUAUGUCUAAACUUUAUGCUUACGAUUGCUACCAUAUUGAUUAUUAAAGUGAAUACCUCAUUUGUAGCUAAACCUUUGGGAAAGACUGAGUGCGAGUGAUUAGGGGUAUUUGGGGUAGGACCUAAUUUGUGGUUAAGAUGCCCUCUCUGACACAAGCACUGCUUGGGGUCUUUGAGAUCUUUGUGAAUUCUGAAGUGCCACAGAUCCAAAGAGUGUCUUGCCCAUGAAUAAUGAUUAUCCCUAACCCUGUAAUCACCAACUCUUAUUAAUCUCUUUAGGAUUAGUACAAAUGAAGAUAGUUUCAUUGUGUUCUUCAAUCUUGUUUACUCUUUGUUAUAUUAUCUUGUUGGGCCUCAAAUUGAUUUCACUAAUGGUCUUUAUCAUAUUUUGUAUGUAUGAUUGAAUUGGUCCUGCUGAGUUCUUUAGAACUCAGGCCCAAGUCCAACUUAGGAUACUCUUUUCGAAGUCUGUCGCUGCUUCAAGUCUGCUGGGCCUGCAUUUCCCUUGGUCCAAUUUCGAGUCAAGUUCCCUUUCCUUUCUCGCUCUUAGAUAAAUGAAGAAUGUUGUUUAUUCUCUAUAUAUAUAUGUGAUACUAACGUUGUUACUGAAAUAUUUCUGUUAUGUUUUUUAUUAUUUUAGGAAAUAGGCAAACCAAAGCCAUUGGUACAUAAAGAAAGAAUCUGAGCUUAUCUGUCAUAUUCACUUAAGUAUUUCAAUCAUUUAUUCUUAAUAAAUAAAAGACUCCGUUU